ACGACCGGCGCACGGGUGCGUAACGCGUAUGCAACCUACCUCUAACAGGAAGAUAGCUCUCGGAAACGGGAAUUAAUACUCCAUAAUAUUGCAAAUUCGCCUGUUUUUGCAAUUAAAGCUCCGGCGGUUAGAGAUGGGCAUGCGUCCUAUUAGCUUGUUGGUGAGGUAACGGCUCACCAAGGCGACGAUAGGUAGGGGGCCUGAGAGGGUGACCCCCCACACUGGUACUGAGACACGGACCAG
This 243-nucleotide ribosomal RNA is filed under the name uncultured bacterium. RNAcentral's name for it is "partial 16S ribosomal RNA". It matches the Rfam family "Bacterial small subunit ribosomal RNA", at positions 91 to 334 of the family's 1533-position model. The record is from RNAcentral.